GAUGAACGCUAGCGGCAGGCUUAACACAUGCAAGUCGAGGGGUAGAGGAAGCUUGCUUCCUUGAGACCGGCGCACGGGUGCGUAACGCGUAUACAAUCUACCUUUUGCAGAGGGAUAGCCCAGAGAAAUUUGGAUUAAUACCUCAUAGUAUAGCAGUUUCGCAUGAAACCACUAUUAAAGUCACAACGGUGAAAGAUGAGCAUGCGUCCCAUUAGCUAGUUGGUAAGGUAACGGCUUACCAAGGCAACGAUGGGGUAAGGGUCCGUGAGAGGGAGAUCCCCCACACUGGUACUGAGACACGGACCAGACUCCUACGGGAGGCAGCAGUGAGGAAUAUUGGACAAUGGGCGCAAGCCUGAUCCAGCCAUGCCGCGUGCAGGAUGACGGUCCCUAUGGAUUGUAAACUGCUUUUAUACAGGAAGAAACACUACUUCGUGAAGUAGCUUGACGGUACUGUAAGAAUAAGGAUCGGCUAA
RNAcentral lists this ribosomal RNA (476 nucleotides) under uncultured bacterium. Its description in RNAcentral is "bacterial SSU rRNA". It matches the Rfam family "Bacterial small subunit ribosomal RNA", at positions 28 to 500 of the family's 1533-position model. The record is from RNAcentral.